Molecule: ribosomal RNA, 333 nt
Filed under: uncultured bacterium
Lineage: Bacteria
Description: partial 16S ribosomal RNA
Rfam family: Bacterial small subunit ribosomal RNA
Source: RNAcentral
CCUACGGGAGGCAGCAGUGAGGAAUAUUGGUCAAUGGACGCAAGUCUGAACCAGCCAUGCCGCGUGCAGGAAGACGGCUCUAUGAGUUGUAAACUGCUUUUGUACGAGGGUAAACGCAGAUACGCGUAUCUGUCUGAAAGUAUCGUACGAAUAAGGAUGGGCUAACUCCGUGCCAGCAGCCGAGGUAAUACGGAGGAUUCAAGCGUUAUCCGGAUUUAUUGGGGUUAUAGGGUGCGUAGGCGGUCGGAUAAGUUAGAGGUGACAUCCCUAGGCUCAACUUCGGAAUUGCCUCUGGUACUGUUCGGCUAGAGAGUAGUUGCGGUAGGCGGACUG